This 440-nucleotide ribosomal RNA is filed under the name uncultured bacterium. Its description in RNAcentral is "bacterial SSU rRNA". It matches the Rfam family "Bacterial small subunit ribosomal RNA", at positions 355 to 787 of the family's 1533-position model. RNAcentral also lists the same sequence under 1 other name. The record is from RNAcentral.
UCUAGAAAUUUGGGCAAUGGGCGAAAGCCUGACCCAGCGACGCCGCGUGGGGGAUGAAGCUUCUCGGAGUGUAAACCCCUGUUAGGUGGGACGAAAGCCCGUAUACGAACAGUAGGCGGGUUUGACGGUACCACCAGAGGAAGCUCCGGCUAACUCCGUGCCAGCAGCCGCGGUAAUACGGGGGGAGCAAGCGUUGUUCGGAGUUAUUGGGCGUAAAGGGCGUACAGGCGGUGGUGUCAGUCAGAUGUGAAAUCCCCCGGCUCAACCGGGGACCUGCAUUUGAUACUGCAUCACUUGAGUACAGGAGAGGAGAGCGGAAUUUUCGGUGUAGCGGUGGAAUGUGUAGAUAUCGAAAAGAACACCAGUGGCGAAGGCGGCUCUCUGGCCUGAUACUGACGCUGACGCGCGAAAGCCAGGGGAGCAAACAGGAUUAGAUACCC